GAUGAACGCUGGCGGCGUGCCUAAUACAUGCAAGUCGAGCGAACGGACGAGAAGCUUGCUUCUCUGAUGUUAGCGGCGGACGGGUGAGUAACACGUGGAUAACCUACCUAUAAGACUGGGAUAACUUCGGGAAACCGGAGCUAAUACCGGAUAAUAUUUUGAACCGCAUGGUUCAAAAGUGAAAGACGGUCUUGCUGUCACUUAUAGAUGGAUCCGCGCUGCAUUAGCUAGUUGGUAAGGUAACGGCUUACCAAGGCAACGAUGCAUAGCCGACCUGAGAGGGUGAUCGGCCACACUGGAACUGAGACACGGUCCAGACGCCUACGGGAGGCAGCAGUAGGGAAUCUUCCGCAAUGGGCGAAAGCCUGACGGAGCAACGCCGCGUGAGUGAUGAAGGUCUUCGGAUCGUAAAACUCUGUUAUUAGGGAAGAACAUAUGUGGAAGUAACUGUGCACAUCGUGACGGUACCUAAUCAGAAAGCCACGGCUAACUACGUG
This 497-nucleotide ribosomal RNA is filed under the name uncultured bacterium. Its description in RNAcentral is "partial 16S ribosomal RNA". It matches the Rfam family "Bacterial small subunit ribosomal RNA", at positions 28 to 507 of the family's 1533-position model. The record is from RNAcentral.